AACGAACGCUGGCGGCAUGCCUAACACAUGCAAGUCGAACGAGACCUUCGGGUCUAGUGGCGCACGGGUGCGUAACGCGUGGGAACCUGCCCUUAGGUUCGGAAUAACUCCCUGAAAGGGGUGCUAAUACCGGAUAAUGUCUUCGGACCAAAGAUUUAUCGCCUUUGGAUGGGCCCGCGUUGGAUUAGCUAGUUGGUAGGGUAAAAGCCUACCAAGGCGACGAUCCAUAGCUGGUCUGAGAGGAUGAUCAGCCACACUGGGACUGAGACACGGCCCAGAAUCCUACGGAAGGCAGCAGUGGGGAAUAUUGGACAAUGGGCGAAAGCCUGAUCCAGCAAUGCCGGGUGAGUGAUGAAGGCCUUAGGGUUGUAAAGCUCUUUUACCCGGGAUGAUAAUGACAGUACCGGGAGAAUAAGCACCGGCUAACUCCGUG
This 433-nucleotide ribosomal RNA is filed under the name uncultured bacterium. Its description in RNAcentral is "partial 16S ribosomal RNA". It matches the Rfam family "Bacterial small subunit ribosomal RNA", at positions 29 to 507 of the family's 1533-position model. The record is from RNAcentral.